CGGGGCGUGGCUCAGUCAGGUUAAGAGCGCUUGGUUCGGGACCAAGAGGUCUCCGGUUCAAAUCCGGACGCCCCGA
Molecule: transfer RNA, 76 nt
Filed under: Pseudomonadota bacterium
Lineage: Bacteria; Pseudomonadati; Pseudomonadota
Also listed under: 1 other name
Description: tRNA-Pro
Rfam family: tRNA
About the family: Transfer RNA (tRNA) molecules are approximately 80 nucleotides in length. Their secondary structure includes four short double-helical elements and three loops (D, anti-codon, and T loops).
Source: RNAcentral